RNAcentral lists this non-coding RNA (24 nucleotides) under Mus musculus (house mouse). Lineage: Eukaryota; Metazoa; Chordata; Mammalia; Rodentia; Muridae. The record is from RNAcentral.
UACUAACUGCCUGACUAGACACUC